Molecule: non-coding RNA, 125 nt
Filed under: Lactiplantibacillus pentosus
Lineage: Bacteria; Bacillati; Bacillota; Bacilli; Lactobacillales; Lactobacillaceae
Description: FMN riboswitch (RFN element)
Rfam family: FMN riboswitch aptamer (RFN element)
About the family: The RFN element is a highly conserved domain that is found frequently in the 5'-untranslated regions of prokaryotic mRNAs that encode for flavin mononucleotide (FMN) biosynthesis and transport proteins. This element is a metabolite-dependent riboswitch that directly binds FMN in the absence of proteins.
Source: RNAcentral
UUCUUCGGGGCAGGGUGCAAUUCCCGACCGACGGUAACAACGUAUGUUGAAGUCCGUGACCCGCGUGCGCGCGGUGGACCCAGUGCAAGUCUGGGACCGACAGUAUAGUCUGGAUGGGAGAAGAA